This 356-nucleotide long non-coding RNA is filed under the name Bos taurus (domestic cattle). Its description in RNAcentral is "long non-coding RNA NONBTAT004871". The record is from RNAcentral. Lineage: Eukaryota; Metazoa; Chordata; Mammalia; Artiodactyla; Bovidae.
UAGAUACUUGAUUCGUAUCUUUAACUGAGUAUGGGAGCCAAGACUAGAAAACUAAAUCGGGAAGAACAUGAACCUGUCUGGCCUGAAUAGACAGUGGGAGUAUCAAAGGGGGAGAGGGGACCUCAUAGCUUGCAGGAAGAUUGUGGUGAGUAUGUGUAGCUCAGUGAGGAGUAGUGCAUUUAGGAAAGCUUUCUAAGGGUUAAGUAGGUUUUCAAGACGUCUGAUAGGUAUCAGAGUAAACCUGGUACUUAACCGCGGGUGCUAGUGUUGUGGUAUUUCUAAACCUCAUUUUCUUAUGGAAAUGAAAUCGUGAAACCGCUGAAUAAAAAUCUGCAGCAUUCAUGUUAAGUCAGCUU